AAAACCUUGUUCCAUCAUCUCAAUUCUAAAAUACAUAUAAAGGCAGGCAUACAAAUCAUAUGGGACCUUGAUCACACACUACAUCUCAUCUAGUGCAUGAAGAGAUGGAGAAAAUAAACUUAAGAAAGGUCAACCAGACAAUUAUCAACCCUGCCCAAAGCAUGAAAUAUGGAAAAGAUGAAACCCAACAAUAAUUCUCCUAACUCUUUAUUGAUAAAAUACAAAUGACAUUUUAUAUUAACUCCAUCUCCUUUUGUGUGUGUAUGUGGGUGAAUCAAUAGUUCCUAAAGUAUUUUCAUUAUUUAAGCAUGUGCAAACAAAAAUUCCAGCUAUUUUUGCCUAAUUAAACUUGCAGCACUUUCCUAAAACAAAAAUAUUUUUUCAUUAUUACUAAUGUUCUCUAAAUAGAAAGAAAAACAACAAAAUACAACUAAAAUUCUCAUUCCUCUUCUUUUUCAAAUCAUGCAGAGACCAAAGCAAACCCAAAAGCCACUGAAACUGAUACACGAGACAGAGUAACGCAUGAAAGCAACAAAUAAAGCCUUCAGACAGGUAGCAAGAGAAAACAUGUAAAAACAAAAGCCUUCCUCAAAACAAAAGAGAAGAAGAGAGCGAGUUACUUCGAAGCAGGAGCAACUCCAUGGCCAUUAACUGCAGGAACUUGAUUCUUCUUCUCCUGCGCGACCGGUUUCGGUGACUGGGGCAACCCGUCUAUGUUAACCGUAACCGAAUCCGACCCAGUAAUCACUUUGCCAGCAUUAGCAGCUAUGGGAGAAAAAUCAGGCUCAGAUCCAGCACUGCCUGAGAAAACCCAGUUGACAGAGCCACCGUGAAUGGCAACAGAAAAGCCCCUUUUGGCACCUGACACGAAGCUCUUAUUAUUAUUGUUGCAGCUGUUGCUGUUGUUGCUGUUGUUAGGUGCACCAAUACUAAGUUGCGAGUUCCCAUUCCCUCUGUCCGGUGACUCAGACCCAGGUAACCCAAGUCUCAACUCGGUGGCUUUUAAGUUGAGACCAACACUAGUAAACUUGUUAUCAGAGUUUUCCAUUGGAGGAACCUCUGAUGAUAAGCCUAUGUAGUCAUGCUCUAAGGGCAUAGACAUGAAAAAUAAAAAACCAUGAAAGUAUUAUCAAGAACCAAUUAGAAGUAGAGUAACAAGAAGAGAACAGAGAAGAAAAAGCUCUUCCUUUUCCUUAUGAAUUGAUGAAACAAGAGAUAUACAGAGUAAACUGAGAAAUGGGGUUUGGUUAAAUUACGAAACAAAGAAGCUUGUUUGAGUUUUUCUUUUUCCUUACUCUGUUUUCGCUCUAUAUAAUCCUCAACACCGUAGAAGAGCAAAUUAAAAGAAAUAUAUAUGUGGGAAAAUUAAAUUAAUUCGAGGAGUUUUCGUAAUUGUAAUAUUUUGUAAAAUAGAAUUAUUAUAUUAUCAUUUUCUUGUGGGCGACCACCCCGACAGGUCGCAGAAAGUCUCCCGGCGAUUUUUCCGAUACUGUACUUUUUGAAAUCUAUACAAAUUUAUUGUUGCUUUUAACAGCUAAAAGUGCGCCGAGACUGCUAACGUUGGCUGGCGGAAGGUGACGCUGUGUGCUCUAAUG
Molecule: unclassified non-coding RNA, 1595 nt
Filed under: Hevea brasiliensis (rubber tree)
Lineage: Eukaryota; Viridiplantae; Streptophyta; Magnoliopsida; Malpighiales; Euphorbiaceae
Source: RNAcentral